Molecule: small RNA, 224 nt
Filed under: Pan troglodytes (chimpanzee)
Lineage: Eukaryota; Metazoa; Chordata; Mammalia; Primates; Hominidae
Description: processed transcript
Source: RNAcentral
GGGCAGGUAAGAGGCAAAAUUAAUUAAGUCCUUUAAAUUGUUAGAUGCUUUCAAGCAGCCAGUCUGAGUUUUCCUUAAUUUAAUAGGUGCUCAGAUGGAAGUAGAUUAUACAGAGCAACUGAAUUUCAGUGAUGAUGAUGAACAAGGAAGUAACAGUCCUAAAGAAAAUAACAGUGAGGAUCAAGGUUCAAAAGCCUCUGAAAACAAUGAAAACAAAAAAGAAA